Long non-coding RNA from Hibiscus syriacus, 830 nucleotides. RefSeq lists it as uncharacterized. The transcript has 2 exons. NCBI's taxonomy places the organism in Eukaryota, Viridiplantae, Streptophyta, Magnoliopsida, Malvales, Malvaceae. The record is from RefSeq and is a predicted model, not a curated record.
GUAGAAGGAAAUAUUGUUUUUACUAGAGGUCUCGGGCUCGAGCAGCUACGGCUGUAGGAUGGAUAUGUGUUGUCAAUAGUUAAGAAAGGUACUGCAAUGGAAGAAGAAAACGAAGAUGGUUGUGUUGUUUUUUGUCACAAGUUUAAAGCAUAAUAUCUCUUUUUCUUUUGCUUGGGGACGCAAGAUUUUAUGUUUGGAGAUAGCCUUCUGAAAAAGGGUGCUUCACUCCCGGUGCUUGGUGUUCCGGCAAGUUGACAUGCACGGAAGUUAGAGACUCGAACAAGAUCAGGCCAGGUCCGGGAGCCUAGAGGCUUAACCAACUUGUAACUAGGUUAGUCAUGAAAGCAAUAACGGUCAAGACCAGUGUAAAUAGUUUAAAGCAGCAGCUCAAUUGAUGAGGCAUACAACAGCUGAAGCAUUAGCAUCUAAUAGAGAGAAUUUUAGUAACAGCACUGCUCAUUUGACCUAAUCUUAGCUUCUGGUAAACUAAUCCAAGUUCGAGUUCAGAUUAUCAUGUUCGGGUCAACACCAACGAGCGAAUUCAGUGCCUCGAAGGUCGAAAUAUUUGUAAAUAGCUUCAUCAAGAAAUGGCAGACAGUGAAGGAUCAGGAAAUCAAAUAUACUUGCUGAAAAAUGACUAUGAACUAUAAGGCAUUACAAAAUAUACAAGAUGAUUGUCCUUUGUUAUUUGUUCUUUUGAAUCUUAUCUACAUAUAUUUUAUGAAGUCAUUCUCAAAUCUCCAUGUUAAUUGCAUCUGUUAUCAUCUACAGACAAAAAUGUUUUCAUCUUUUGUUUUUUUUUUGGCUCAAAUGCUAUACUCUUUUAUACU